RNAcentral lists this ribosomal RNA (301 nucleotides) under uncultured bacterium. RNAcentral's name for it is "partial 16S ribosomal RNA". It matches the Rfam family "Bacterial small subunit ribosomal RNA", at positions 509 to 807 of the family's 1533-position model. The record is from RNAcentral.
CAGCAGCCGCGGUAAUACGUAGGGUGCGAGCGUUAAUCGGAAUGACUGGGCGUAAAGGGCGCGUAGGCGGCGAUCAAAGUCAGGCGUGAAAUUCCUGGGCUCAACCUGGGGGCUGCGCUUGAUACUUGGUUGCUUGAGUGGGGAAGAGGGUCGUGGAAUUCCCAGUGUGGAGGUGAAAUUCGUAGAUAUUGGGAAGAACACCGGUGGCGAAGGCGGCGACCUGGUCCUUGACUGACGCUGAAGCGCGAAAGCGUGGGGAGCAAACAGGAUUAGAUACCCCUGUAGUCCCUGUCUCUUAUAC